Molecule: long non-coding RNA, 1070 nt
Organism: Triticum aestivum (bread wheat)
Lineage: Eukaryota; Viridiplantae; Streptophyta; Magnoliopsida; Poales; Poaceae
Exons: 3
Source: RefSeq, a predicted model, not a curated record
UCGUCCUUCUUCUCUCCCUCUCCCGUUUCUCCUUCCCAACCUAGGGUUGCCGCCGCCGCACCUUUAGCACUGGCUACCGGAGGAUGGCUAGCUUAUACGCUGACUUUUCUCUCACCACGUUCAAUCCCGACCAGCGCCGCUGCCGCUCCUUUAAACUAGAUUUGCUGGGCAUUAACCUCGAUCACAUCUUCUUGCUGUUAAAAAAACUUAUAAAGCUAUGGCCGCGGGUUAUUUCUUUGCAUUCUUGGAUUGCAUCUCUUUGUACCUCUACACUACUAUACUUUAGGACCAACAUGUCGAAUUGCAUUUCUUUUGUUUUCCAAGUUGCCGCCACAAUAACCUCUGCACAAAAUGAGGUAUGAUCUCACGAGAUUAAUACCUACAAUAUCGACUUGAUCUUGCUUCCAUCAUGCCAUAUGUCACAUUCUGUUAUUUAUGGAUAUUGCACUGUCUAUUCUUACAUCAUGGAUGUUAUUCAUGCACAUUAGGUUCUUAGUAAUUGAUGAUUUUGCUUGGUUUGCACCAUCUAUUCUAUUUUAUAUAAGCCAUGUAUUUUAUACCGGUCCUUUUUCUCAUUUUGUUCUGCUGCAAUAAUCUUUUCAGUUAGCCUCACAUAAGCCUAUGAUUUCUAUCUACAAUAUGCGCAGUAAUUCUCCGUUUUGCCGAGGUGAACCACCAUCCACCCAGACAUGGAUUACCUGCCCAUCAAGUUUGGAAGCGGGAGCUAGAUAAAUCAUCCUUGUCUCACGUACAUCGUCUCAAAGAAUUGUUUCAAUAUAGCAGAAAGAGGCCAUCACGUGGAUAUGAAUUAAGUUAGUCCCAGAGUGCCAAGAUUAGAGAUGGAAUUUACUUUGCACGGAUGUCAUGAGAUAAAGGAGGCAGUGGACGGGAGAGAUUCAACCGGAGUUGCCACAGUACUGGUAGAUUGCAGGAAGCACUACAUGUAGAUAUGUAUGCUUCUGCUUGGUACAUGUGAACAGGGAGACAAGGAACGGAAGUUGCAGCGGUAGUCGGCUGGUGGCCACACAUUGGCAACCACUGCUUAGAUACGUGACUCCAGCCACCCAUGG